RNAcentral lists this long non-coding RNA (512 nucleotides) under Phoenix dactylifera (date palm). Its description in RNAcentral is "long non-coding RNA (PDAC_LNC002236)". Lineage: Eukaryota; Viridiplantae; Streptophyta; Magnoliopsida; Arecales; Arecaceae. The record is from RNAcentral.
UCGACCUGAGAUUUAUAGGACAUGCAUUGGCAUUUUGCUCUAAAUUUGAUGCAGGAAGCAAGGAAAAGGAUGAAUUGCUUAAAGCAUGUACUGAAGGAGUUGCUGGCAGAGGGCAUGAUUUUUUGAUCAGGUUCAUCAUAUGAAGGAUGACGGCAAUAGCCACAGGCAGGCUUCUGCUUAAAUCACAGAAGUCCAUGAGAAUGUAAAGAUAUAAAGCUUUAGUGAAUCCUCAUUUUUAUUCCAUACUUGUAAAUGAAAGGUCAAGAUACUAAAGAAAAAGCUGACGGCUGUUGUUUCUGACUAUUGAAGUAACAACUGUGCAAAUGAUCUCAUUUUCUGGAUGCUGUAUAUAGGACUAAUGAGUGGAAUACUGCAAUGUCCUUACAGUCAAUGUAAUCCUUAUAAUGAUGAGUGUUGUGGUUCAAAUUUGGCCCGCGCUGAGGUCUGCUUAGCCGGAAUGGGGUGGUCCCCUGUCUUGAGCAGGACAAUCCAUUCUGUCCCCUAUCAAUGAG